CAAAAUCCGGCUAUUGUAUCAAAUACAUAUUCAUGAAACCAAAGCAAGUGCACUACUAAAGUCUGUGCCAUUAAAAAUGUUUGUGUGUGCGCACACGUGCACGCCUGCUUUUCUGUGUGUAUGCCAUGUGUGUGCAGUGCAGUGCUGUUGCACUCCAGAAGAAGGUGCGGGAUCCCCUGGCGCUGGGUUACACAUGGCUGUGUGCAGCUCCAUGUGCUCUUGCUCCGACCUGCUGAGCUGCCUUUCCAGACCCAUUCUUAUGGAGAUAGUUAAUUUUUAGCAUCUCUAAAAAUUAAGAGAUACUUCAGAUUUGGGAAGGGCUAUUGUCAUUUAGAAAGUAGUAUGCAUUUAAUGAGCGCUGAAGAAUCUUUUAAAGACAGUGAUGUAGUAUGACUAACAAAGUUUAAUUUUGUGUCAACCUUAGGCCAGAUUAGAGGAUGGGAAAUUGGCUAAAGAAAAUUGUAAUACAUUUGUAGAUAGGGAAAUGAUGAUGCUCAUUUUUAAAAAUGUUAAGAUGUCUCCUAAAAGAAACUAACAGAAUGUAGAGGCUAACAGAAUAAUGAGUAGAAAACAGUUAAAUAAAAGUAAGGUAGUUUAGUUAGUGGGUUUCUGGAAUGAUAGAAAGCUUUGCUGGAGAAUUAGAGGUGAUUUCUAUAGGUAAUUCUUGGAAUUCAAAAUUACAUAGGUCAAGUUUACUUCAUUACUAACAUUAAAAGCUCCCUAAUAUUGCAUCUUAUAUAUUUUUUCUAAUGUAACUCCAGUAGUGAUUCACCUCUGAAGAUAUUGUCAUAAUCCCUUAGAAAUGUUACCACAUGAGUAUUGUUCAGGCUAUAUAGCCUAGACCUCUUGGUGCUUAAUUUUAGGCAAAGGGUCCUCUGAAUAUUGACCUCUGGCUAAUGUCCCCUACUUGGAUAUACUUGGAGGUCUUAGUUGUUUGCAUUUUAUAAGUGAGAAACUUAAUUACGGGGGUUUGGUUUGACUUCAUUUAACAAUACCUUUUUAGUACUUGCUGUGUAUCCAGGUAAUGUUCUGAGACCUUGGACUUUACCUGUGAACAGAAUGGACAGAUAAUUCUGCCUUUGUGGAACUAAUUUCCAGUCUAAAGGAGUUAAACACACAGAUAUAGUUUUAAAAAUAAUGUAUGUUAGAAGAUAAAAAUUUUGAGAGGAAAGUUGAAGAAAAAGAUGACAUUUGAGCAAAGACUUGGAGGAGGUGGGGAUGCAGACUCUGAGGCAGUCUGAACAAAGACUGUAGACUUUAGGAAGUACUAACUAAGGUUGUGUUGGUUCCAAAUGAAGCCAAUGAUAUAUUGGUAGCCUUGGGUUUUCUGUCUUUUUACUGAAAUAGAAUAGAAGGCUGUGAUACAGAUUUUCUCCACAGCAGGUCUUAGAAGGAUUUUUAUUUCUCAUCCUCCAUGCUUCCUUAUUUCAUCCCUUCUUAUGUAAAUAGCAGAUGGAAAAGCGAAAACAUUCUUGGUAGAGGGAAAUGCGAGAACAAAGGUAGGACUGAGCUUCAAAGAGGAAGAAGACUGUGUGACCGGAACAGACUAUUUUUGCUGAGCAGUUUGAAGACAAGUUUAGAGAGGCGAGGUAUAGCAAAAAGGCAUUGAAAAAUCAAAGGCAAUCUGCUUAUAAAUAAGAACCAACAGAAAACAAAGUCCUAGCAGAGGUGUGGUAGUGAGCACCACAGAUGGAAGGGGGAAGCAUUUUUGGUAGAAGGAGCAGUACGUGGAAACAUGGGUAUAUACCUGCUGUGCUCUGUCAACAGCAAGGAGCCUUUGUAGGUAGAGUGGAGCAAGUGAGGGUGUGAGGUAGUCCUUGGGGUUAAGAGGUGAUAGGGCAGAGCAUAUAUGGUUUCUCAACCUGGGCACUGUUGAUGUUUUAGAUUAGCUGAUAUUUUAUAGGCUAAUGUGUGCAUCCCUAUUUUGUGCAAUCACUGCAGAAUGUUGGUUCCUAUGUGGUAGAUGUCAGUAGUACUUAUGUGCCUAGAUGUGAGAACUAGAAAUGGUUAUAGACAUUGCAGUGUUCCUUGGUAGGUGAGUGAGAAGGAGGGAGGUGGUGUGGUGGAGUUGCUUCUGGUUAGCAAUGCAAGCGUGAGACCCCGACUGUGAAUCCCCAUCACCCCAGUCAGCAGUAGAGACUUGCUGUGCUCACUCGCUCCAAGGCUCAGCCAGAGGCCAUCUCAAGGGAGUGAAGCAAAGACAGUUAGAGCAGAACAUUUGAUGUCCUCUGGUGUACACACGCACGAGGGGGGUGAGGGGGG
RNAcentral lists this long non-coding RNA (2262 nucleotides) under Mus musculus (house mouse). RNAcentral describes it as "long non-coding RNA chr5:105879582-105881844". The record is from RNAcentral. Lineage: Eukaryota; Metazoa; Chordata; Mammalia; Rodentia; Muridae.